UGAUUAGCUUGUUGGUGAGGUAAAGGCUCACCAAGGCGACGAUCAGUAGCUGGUUUGAGAGAACGACCAGCCACACUGGAACUGAGACACGGUCCAGACUCCUACGGGAGGCAGCAGUGGGGAAUUUUGGACAAUGGAGGAAACUCUGAUGCAGCGAUGCCGCGUGAGUGAAGAAGGCCCUUGGGUUGUAAAGCUCUUUCGUCGGGGAAGAAAAUGACUGUACCCGAAUAAGAAGGUCCGGCUAACUUCGUGCCAGCAGCCGCGGUAAUACGAAGGGACCUAGCGUAGUUCGGAAUUACUGGGCUUAAAGAGUUCGUAGGUGGUUGAAAAAGUUAGUGGUGAAAUCCCAGAGCUUAACUCUGGAACUGCCAUUAAAACUUUUCAGCUAGAGUAUGAUAGAGGAAAGCAGAAUUUCUAGUGUAGAGGUGAAAUUCGUAGAUAUUAGAAAGAAUACCGAUUGCGAAGGCAGCUUUCUGGAUCAUUACUGACACUGAGGAACGAAAGCAUGGGUAGCGAAGAGGAUUAGAUACCCUCGUAGUCCAUGCCGUAAACGAUGUGUGUUAGACGUUGGAAAUUUAUUUUCAGUGUCGCAGGGAAACCGAUAAACACACCGCCUGGGGAGUACGACCGCAAGGUUAAAACUCAAAUGAAUUGACGGGGACCCGCACAAGUAGUGGAGCAUGUGGUUUAAUUCGAAGAUACGCGCAGAACCUUACCAACACUUGACAUGUUCGUCGCGACUCUAAGAGAUUAGAGUUUUCGGUUCGGCCGGACGAAACACAGGUGCUGCAUGGCUGUCGUCAGCUCGUGUCGUGAGAUGUUGGGUUAAGUCCCGCAACGAGCGCAACCCUCACUUUUAGUUGCCAUCAUUAAGUUGGGCACUCUGAAAGAACUGCCAGUGAUAAGCUGGAGGAAGGUGGGGAUGACGUCAAGUCCUCAUGGCCCUUACGUGUUGGGCUACACACGUGCUACAAUGGUAUCUACAACAGGAAGCAAGACUGCGAAGUUAAGCAAAUCCCUAAAAGAUACCUCAGUUCGGAUUGCACUCUGCAACUCGAGUGCAUGAAGCUGGAAUUACUAGUAAUCGUGGAUCAGCGUGCCACGGUGAAUGCGUUCCCGGGUCUUGUACACACCGCCCGUCACACCAUGGGAGUUGGUUCUACCUUAAGGCAAGGUUUCAAACCCUUGACCACGGUAUAGUCAGCGACUGGGGUGAAGUCGUAACAAGGUAGCCGUA
This 1237-nucleotide ribosomal RNA is filed under the name uncultured bacterium. Its description in RNAcentral is "bacterial SSU rRNA". It matches the Rfam family "Bacterial small subunit ribosomal RNA", at positions 238 to 1504 of the family's 1533-position model. The record is from RNAcentral.